UGAAUUUAAGCAUAUCACUAAGCGGAGGAAAAGAAACUAACAAGGAUUCCCCUAGUAGCGGCGAGCGAAGAGGGAAGAGCCCAGCACCGAACCUCGCACCUUCGGGUGUCGCGGAAUGUGGUGUUCAGGAGGACCGUGCGCGUCUGUCCGGUAUCGUCCAAGUCUCCAUGAAUGGGGCCAGUUACCCAGAGAGGGUGUCAGGCCCGUGGGACGAGCCGCGACCGUGCAUUGGGUCUCUCCUUAGAGUCGGGUUGCUUGAGAGUGCAGCCCUAAGCGGGAGGUAAACUCCUUCUAAGGCUAAAUACGGCCACGAGACCGAUAGCAAACAAGUACCGCGAGGGAAAGUUGAAAAGAACUUUGAAGAGAGAGUUCAAGAGUGCGUGAAACCGUUCAGGGGGUUAAACGGGUGGGCCCUCGAAGGUCGAAAGGUCCUCACUCCCGGUCACUGCAGUUCGGCCCGCGCCGCUCUCGAUUCCGCUACGGAACGAAGUGGUGCGGCUCGCCGGGCUACGGGGGCCGUUAGCUGAGGGCCCGGUAGGACUCCGCAACCGGCUGGGAGGCCGUCAGAAGGGCUCUGUGAGGAAGCUCCCUCGUGGAGUGGAUUCCGGGGUUCCGGGCGGUCCUCUCGGCCGUGAACCGAGAUUUCCGCCUUCACGGGUAGGAAUUGGCGGAGAGUAGAGUCGGGUCCCACCCGACCCGUCUUGAAACACGGACCAAGGAGUCUAACAUGUGCGCGAGUCGUCGGGUACUACUAAACCCGAAGGCGCAAUGAAAGUGAAGGCCGCCCUCGUUGGCGGCCUAGGGGAGAUCCCGUUCUGCUCCGGUAGCUCGGGCGCAUCCCCGGGGCGUCGAAGCCGCGUUGCCGGCUAGACGCACCAAGAGCGUACACGUUGGGACCCGAAAGAUGGUGACCUAUGCCUGGCCAGGACGAAGCCAGGGGAAACCCUGGUGGAGGUCCGCAGCGAUUCUGACGUGCAAAUCGAUCGUCUGAGUUGGGUAUAGGGGCGAAAGACUAAUCGAACCAUCUAGUAGCUGGUUCCCCCCGAAGUUCCCUCAGAAG
RNAcentral lists this ribosomal RNA (1060 nucleotides) under Imnadia yeyetta. Its description in RNAcentral is "eukaryotic LSU rRNA". It matches the Rfam family "Eukaryotic large subunit ribosomal RNA", at positions 29 to 980 of the family's 3401-position model. The record is from RNAcentral. Lineage: Eukaryota; Metazoa; Arthropoda; Branchiopoda; Diplostraca; Limnadiidae.